GCGGCUUUGGUGAAGCGGUUAACACACUGGAUUGUGGCUCCAGCAUACAUGGGUUCGAUCCCCAUAAGUCGCCCCA
This 76-nucleotide transfer RNA is filed under the name Selenomonas sp. oral taxon 920. RNAcentral describes it as "tRNA-His". It matches the Rfam family "tRNA". From Rfam's summary of the family: Transfer RNA (tRNA) molecules are approximately 80 nucleotides in length. Their secondary structure includes four short double-helical elements and three loops (D, anti-codon, and T loops). Lineage: Bacteria; Bacillati; Bacillota; Negativicutes; Selenomonadales; Selenomonadaceae. RNAcentral also lists the same sequence under 1 other name. The record is from RNAcentral.